UAUUUUACGUACCUUGCCAGUGCUUGUGGUGAGUACUAUUAAUCCCUUGUUGCAAAUAAAAUAAAGAUAUAUAGGGCAAAUUAAUCCCCUGUGCAAUUACCGUAUAUUUCGAGGGUUUUCGUGGAAAGACCGUUGGAAAUGUUUCCGCAAAUUUAACUUCGCUGAUUUAAAUCCCACUUUUCAUGGGCUAACUAGAGCUACAUCAACAUUAUUUAGAAUAAACCUUUGAAGUGGCCAUUACUAAAAUAUGAUUCUUCUGUCCAUCUAAAAAACCUACCCACAGGUUUCUAUUUAGUGUUGAUUACAUUAUCUCCAGUCACAGUGCUUUAAAUAACGUAAUGCACAAUACAUGAGACAUUGAUAUGGAUUCAAAUGUAGCCAAGAAAAAAAGUUACGCUGUACACGUCAUGGCAGGCUGUACGCGACAUGGUAGGCUGUACACAACGUUCGAGAUAAGAUAAAGUGACAGCACUAAAUCUUUUGGAACACACCUAGCUAAGAUAAAUUGUUUUAAUACGGUGCACUAUGAUGGGUUCUCUGUUACAAUAACACACUUGACGUUAACCUCAAGUUCAUCCUCGGCUCACACAUUAAAACACUUAAUUAACAAGAGAAUUUGAAGAGUGUCAAACUACCAAUAGCUCUAUACGUAAACACUGUGCACAAAGUAACACUCGCACGUGGAUGAAGUAUCGUAAAAUUACUAGUAAUCAGCUAGUAAAUGCAACAGCGAACAAUGACAUCAUGAAAUUCUGUGCAUGUGCAUGACGUAUAACGGAUGCGGAAACGUCAUCAAUUGCGAUUUGCUCGCAUGCAAAAUAGUCUAGGAAAGUGCUGAGUUAGCAUGAUUGGAUUGCAUCCGGAUUUUGCGUGAGUGUGCGUAUAUAUGUGGGUACGAGUGUAUGCAUGUGUAUGAGUUUGAAGGUAUUCCUCAGACAAGCAAUUGUUAGGAUAUCACGUUACUUUAUGCGCAUGCAGUUUUCGUAUAGGGGUAUGGUUAAUCUUGGCUGGGUGCAUGUGUUCAGAAAACUGUAAACCCUUACCUAUUAUUUAUUCGAUAUUUAUUGGGUGCCGUUUGUGUCAAAACUGCAUGUUUAAUGUAUGUGAAAAUCCACUCGCUGUAUUCGGUCUCCCAAUUUUAAUAAAUCAGGCUCACAAAUUAAUAAUAAAUAUAGCAUUAUGGGUGUGGCAUUAAUAAGCAUGAGCCUGAAUUUAGUAAAGCGGGAGGCCGAUUUACUAAAGCGUGAGCCUGAUUUAGUAAAUCGGGAUACAGUGAAGUGGAUUUUGAUGUAUAUUGAACAGGCAGUUUUGACACAAACGGCACCCCAUAGUUAUUUAGUCGUGAACGUGUGCCCUGCAUUAGCUGUGUUCAUCAGAGAGCGCACAAAGUUGCUAAAAUCGAGGCAUGUAUAUAAUUUCUCGCUCGUGUUUUGGCGCCCCCCCUCACCCAAACAUGUAUGGGGGAUCUUAAAACCGGCGUUCAAAGGGGCCUGUGCCCCUCGCCUUAAGGUUUCAGCACCCCGAGAUGUCAUUGUGAGGGUGUACGCUGAUAUAGGUGUCGUACUGCAGUUCCAAGAGUACGCCGAAAACAUUAAGAAUCUCAUACACAUUCUGGCCAUUAUGGAGGGAUUUCACUGGGUGUGGCUGGAUUGGGUUACCAAUGGGGGAAAAAGGGGGCAAAAUGUUACAGAAAUCUGUAUAUUAUACGUGAAUCGGGUGAGGUAGCAGAGAUUGAAAUUUUAAUGAGAAUCAUUCGGCAGAUAAAGGUUAACUGAGUUAGGGGUUUUGAAUACCGACAUAUUUUCACAGGUAGAUUUGUUUGCGUUUUCACUGUUUAGCUGGUAUUAAAUUCUGCUAAAUCCUGCUCAAGUUGUGAAACUUCAUAGCGUUCUAUGUACUCGCAAGUGGUUUUAAUGAGAGGAUUCAUUGCAUUUUCCAAUUAUCUGCGAGUACAAAUGUUUGCGAUUUUACUCUCAUUCGCAGAAAUAGCAGAAAUUAAUACUCGCGAAAAUAUGUAAGAUAAUCCGACAUUGUGUAUAUAGUAUGGCUUCUUAGCUGUAUAAGUCAUUCCUGGGAGUGUAUGAUUAGUCGCUUCUGCACAUCACUAAUUGACCACUAAUUGAUAUUGACUGUGGCUCAUGCCUAUAGCAACUACACUUCCUCAGGUUUACUAUACAUCCAGCUAAUAAACUUACUAAACAUGAUUUUUUAACAUAUACAUCCUCGAUCAAGCAUGCAUGUUGUAUAAGCGGGUAAUUUUCGUUGAUGCAAAUGUUAGUAUGAAACAUUCGUGUCCCUCGUACGGAUUACCAUAGAUACACGAGUAUCUAUGCUCAUACGUGCAAUUAGAUAGAAUGCAAUUAGCCUCUGAUUGAACUCGGCAAUAACGUUGUAUGUGGGAGGAUAAUUAGUGUUUAAUCAGAGACUAAUUGCUGACUACACCAUACCUGACGUACCUCCUCUGCAUGGUGGAGUACAACCUAGUGUGGUAGAAUAAUUUCGCAGUUUUACUUUUCGGAUGAUGCUCUACUAUACGAAAACUCUGAAAGAACCUGCUAUACGGUAUACAAUUCAUGGGUUUUUUAGCAUGAUUCUCUGCUAAACACACUCUAGUGAAUCACACAAUGCACAUGGUCACAUGCACCCAGUUCGGAAACCUUUUCCCAGUGGCUUACUGGAAUACCGGAAGAACCUAAUCACUGCAGUACUGGUUUAGGUUCUCAAUAGCCUCGAUUCCAGGCCGCUCUCAAUUGAGAAAGGGCUGCAUGGGAUCGAGGCUAAGUUCUGCAUGUAGACCAGCCCCUCCCCUUACUUAAAAGAAGACUUUUAAGCAACCACAUGUAGAUAUAACCAUCAAGGUGCCUUUCUUUCACUGCACUCAUUGUCGGUUUUACCUGUGACUAUUUCUAUGGAGGCUGUAAGAACUGAAUGUGCCCCUUUCUCCACUUCAACAACUACAAUAUUGCUGUCGCUGUACCGAAAGGGUAUGACAGGUUGGGGCAAAAAAGCAACCAUUCCUGGAAAUGGCAAAGGACCGUACAGGCCUCAACGAGAAGCAGAUAAGGAACUGGAUACGCCGAGAAAACAUGAAAAUUAAGCAUGGUGGCAUUGAUGCGGAUGAAUCUGGUCCCUCUGAUCAGUACAACAUUCCGAAGAAGUCAAGCGGGCCAUGGCACCAAUUUCUAAAAGAGUACGGAAAAUCUGAAGGUGGAAAGAGUGCCAUUGCAACCGCUGGAAAUCCAGGUGUUUUUAACAAGGAAGCCAGUGAAGCUUAUAAUAACUUGUCUAGCGAUGAGAAACAAGCUCUGAGAGAACGUUCUGAAACGAAUGAGCGACUCUCCCAUAAAGGUGUCCUAAAAGAAGCUGAGAAACGUUUUGGGAAGAUUCAGAAGCUGGUAUGUUAAU
Long non-coding RNA from Halichondria panicea, 3405 nucleotides. RefSeq lists it as uncharacterized. Lineage: Eukaryota; Metazoa; Porifera; Demospongiae; Suberitida; Halichondriidae. The record is from RefSeq and is a predicted model, not a curated record. The transcript has 3 exons.